This 406-nucleotide unclassified non-coding RNA is filed under the name soil metagenome. RNAcentral's name for it is "partial contains 5.8S ribosomal RNA, internal transcribed spacer 2, and large subunit ribosomal RNA". The stretch from base 1 to 121 matches the Rfam family "5.8S ribosomal RNA", at positions 35 to 154 of the family's 154-position model. The record is from RNAcentral.
GAUGAAGAACGCAGCGAAAUGCGAUAAGUAAUGUGAAUUGCAGAAUUCAGUGAAUCAUCGAAUCUUUGAACGCACCUUGCGCCCUUUGGCCAUUCCGAAGGGCAUGCCUGUUUGAGUAUCAUGAACACCUCAACUCUUCAUGGUUUUCCAUGAUGAGCUUGGACUUUGGGGGUCUUGCUGGCCUGUGGGUCGGCUCCUCUCAAAUGAAUCAGCUUGCCGGUUUUUGGUGGGCAUCACAGGUGUGAUAACUAUCUACGCUUGUGGUUUUCCACCAGGUUAACCUUCAGCAGUGGAGGUUCACUGGAGCUUACAAAUGUCUCUCCUCUGUGAGGACAGCCCUUUGAAUGUUUGAUCUCAAAUCAGGUAGGACUACCCGCUGAACUUAAGCAUAUCAAUAAGCGGAGGA